AUUGAACGCUGGCGGCAUGCCUUACACAUGCAAGUCGAACGGUAGAGUAGCAAUACUUGAGAGUGGCGAACGGGUGAGUAAUAUAUCGGAACGUGCCCAGUCGUGGGGGAUAACGUAGCGAAAGCUACGCUAAUACCGCAUACGAUCUAUGGAUGAAAGCGGGGGGAUCGCAAGACCUCGCGCGAUUGGAGCGGCCGAUAUCAGAUUAGGUAGUUGGUGAGGUAAAGGCUCACCAAGCCGACGAUCUGUAGCUGGUCUGAGAGGACGACCAGCCACACUGGGACUGAGACACGGCCCAGACUCCUACGGGAGGCAGCAGUGGGGAAUUUUGGACAAUGGGCGCAAGCCUGAUCCAGCAAUGCCGCGUGCAGGAUGAAGGCCUCGG
RNAcentral lists this ribosomal RNA (385 nucleotides) under uncultured bacterium. RNAcentral's name for it is "bacterial SSU rRNA". It matches the Rfam family "Bacterial small subunit ribosomal RNA", at positions 30 to 420 of the family's 1533-position model. The record is from RNAcentral.